GGUCCCGCCUGCCCUGUGACAUUGUUUAACGGCCGCGGUAUCAUGACCGUGCGAAGGUAGCGUAAUCACUUGUCUUUUAAUUGAAGACCUGUAUGAAAGGCAUCACGAGAGUUUACCUGUCUCUAUUUUCUAAUCAAUGAAAUUGAUCUCCCCGUGCAGAAGCGGGGAUAUAACCAUAAGACGAGAAGACCCUAUGGAGCUUUAAACACUUAAGUUACUACCUUACUCACUAAUCAUCUAAAGACUUAACCACUCCAAUAGUAACCUAACUUAAUGUUUUCGGUUGGGGCGACCAAGGAGUAAAAGAAAACCUCCUUAUCGAUUGAGUAUUUUUACUUAAAAAUCAGAACGACAGCUCUGAUUAAUAGAAUGUCUAACGAAUAAUGACCCAGGGUUAUACCCUGAUCAAUGAACCAAGUUACCCUAGGGAUAACAGCGCAAUCCUUUCUAAGAGUCCAUAUCGCCGAAAGGGUUUACGACCUCGAUGUUGGAUCAGGACAUCCUAAUGGUGCAACCGCUAUUAAGGGUUCGUUUGUUCAACGAUUAAUAG
This 550-nucleotide ribosomal RNA is filed under the name Caliraja inornata (California ray). Its description in RNAcentral is "partial 16S ribosomal RNA". It matches the Rfam family "Bacterial large subunit ribosomal RNA", at positions 1851 to 2593 of the family's 2925-position model. The record is from RNAcentral. Lineage: Eukaryota; Metazoa; Chordata; Chondrichthyes; Rajiformes; Rajidae.